UUAAGCUAAGAAGAGCGUAGGGAGAAUGCCUUGGCAUUAGGAGCCGACGAAGGACGUGAUAAGCUGCGAUAAGCUGCGGGGAUCAGCAAGUAUGAAUUGAUCCGCAGAUUUCCGAAUGGAGCAAUCCGUAUGUGUAUGCACAUACAUCAUAUACUGAAUCAAAUAGGUAUAUGAGGGGAACCGCCUGAACUGAAACAUCUAAGUAGGGCGAGGAAGAGAAAUCAACCGAGAUUCUGUGAGUAGUGGCGAGCGAAAGCGGAAGAGGCUAAACCAUAGGUAGCAAUACUUAUGGGGUUUCGGACAGCAUUUAGCAUUGAUAAUUUCUAGUUGAAACGUGUGGGAAAACGUACCGAAGAGUGUGAGAGUCACGUAAGCGAAAGAGAGAGUCAGCGAGCUGUAUCCAAAGUACCGCGGGACACGUGAAACCCCGUGGGAAGAUGGGGGGACCAUCCUCCAAGCCUAAAUACUACCUAAUGACCGAUAGCGAAUAGUACUGUGAAGGAACGGUGAAAAGAACCCCGGGAGGGGAGUGAAAAAGAACCUGAAACCCUAUGCUUACAAGCACCGAGAGCACGUCAAAGUGUGAUCGGGUACCUUUUGUAGAAUGGUCCGGCGAGUUAUUGUAUGCGGCAAGGUUAAGUGCUUAAGGCACGGAGCCGAAGCGAGAGCAAGUCUGAACAGGGCGAAAAAGUCGUAUGCAAUAGACCCGAAACCGAGUGACCUAUCCAUGUCCAGGCUGAAGUGGAGGUAAAACUCCAUGGAGGGCCGAACACACGUCCGUUGAAAAGGCCGGUGAUGAGGUGUGGAUAGCGGAGAAAUUCCAAUCGAACUCGGAUAUAGCUGGUUCUCUCCGAAAUAGCUUUAGGGCUAGCCUCGUGAAAGAUUACUGGAGGUAAAGCACUGAAUGGGCUAGGGGUCGAAAGAUUACUGAACCCUAUCAAACUAAGAAUGCCAGAUAAUUGAUUCACGGGAGUCAGACAAUGUGAGAUAAGUCUCAUUGUCAAAAGGGAAACAGCCCAGACCCACAGCUAAGGUCCCUAAACAUUGUUAAGUGGAAAAGGAUGUGGGGUUGCAUAAACAACCAGGAUGUUGGCUUAGAAGCAGCCACUCAUUAAAAGAGUGCGUAAUAGCUCACUGGUCGAGUGACCCUGCGCCGAAAAUUCAACGGGGCUAAACAAUGUACCGAAGCUUGGGAUUCUAAAGUAAUUUAGAGUGGUAGGAGAGCGUCGAAUAAGGGGUGAAGUCAGAGCGGAAGCGCUGGUGGACUUUAUUCGAGUGAGAAUGCCGGAAUGAGUAGCGAGAAUUAUGUGAGAAUCAUAAUGGCCGAAAAUCUAAGGUUUCCUGAGGAAGGUUCGUCCGCUCAGGGUAAGCCGGGAGCUAAGGCGAGGCGGAGACGCGUAGCCGAUGCACAUACGGUUGAAAUUCCGUAGCCACCGAAAGAUUUAAGUACAGGGACGCUUUAGAAGUGAUGUUGCCGGGCGAUGGUUGACCCGGUCGUAAGGGAUCGAAAAUGAGUAGAGAAGUCAUCAUGGAAAGAGACAAGAAAAGCUGUAUGAAUAUCUUAGGUGCCCGUACCGCAAACCGACACAGGUAGAUAGGAAGAAGAUUCUAAGGCCAACGGGAGAAGGGUUGUUAAGGAACUCGGCAAGUUGACCCCGUAACUUAGGGAUAAGGGGUGCUCAAGUGAUUGAGCCGCAGAGAAUAGGCCCAGGCGACUGUUUAGCAAAAACACAGGUCUCUGCUAAAUCGAAAGAUGACGUAUAGGGGCUGACACCUGCCCGGUGCCGGAAGGUUAAGAGGAGAUGUGAGAGCAUUGAAUUGAAGCCCCGGUAAACGGCGGCCGUAACUAUAACGGUCCUAAGGUAGCGAAAUUCCUUGUCAGGUAA
This 1886-nucleotide ribosomal RNA is filed under the name human gut metagenome. RNAcentral's name for it is "bacterial LSU rRNA". It matches the Rfam family "Bacterial large subunit ribosomal RNA", at positions 3 to 1979 of the family's 2925-position model. The record is from RNAcentral.